GUCGGUAAAACUCGUGCCAGCCACCGCGGUUAUACGAGAAGUCCAAAUUGACAGCCACCCGGCGUAAAGAGUGGUUAUAGGACGCCCACCCAACUAAAGCCAAAGCCCCUCCCAGCUGUCAUACGCACCUGAAGAGACGAGGCCCAACCACGAAAGUAGCUUUAACUAAUAAACCCCUAGAACCCACGACAGCCAAGACACAAACUGGGAUUAGA
Molecule: ribosomal RNA, 215 nt
Filed under: Megalops atlanticus (tarpon)
Lineage: Eukaryota; Metazoa; Chordata; Actinopteri; Elopiformes; Megalopidae
Description: partial small subunit ribosomal RNA
Source: RNAcentral